This 119-nucleotide ribosomal RNA is filed under the name Pteropus alecto (black flying fox). Lineage: Eukaryota; Metazoa; Chordata; Mammalia; Chiroptera; Pteropodidae. The record is from RNAcentral.
GUCUACGGCCAUGCCACCCUGAACAAGCCUGAUCCCAUCUUAUCUCAGAAGCUAAGCAGUGUCGGGCCUGAUUAGUACUUGGAUGGGAGACCACCUAGGAAGACCAGGUGCUAAAGGCA